GCUUCGUGAAAGACAUGAGUGGUGAGAUGUCUACGACAUCACUAAUUCUCACUACCUUGUCUUUCAUGCUGAU
This is a microRNA precursor of Operophtera brumata (winter moth), 73 nucleotides long. It matches the Rfam family "mir-71 microRNA precursor family". NCBI's taxonomy places the organism in Eukaryota, Metazoa, Arthropoda, Insecta, Lepidoptera, Geometridae. The record is from Rfam.